This 463-nucleotide ribosomal RNA is filed under the name uncultured bacterium. RNAcentral's name for it is "partial 16S ribosomal RNA". It matches the Rfam family "Bacterial small subunit ribosomal RNA", at positions 28 to 507 of the family's 1533-position model. The record is from RNAcentral.
GACGAACGCUGGCGGCGUGCUUAACACAUGCAAGUCGAGCGGUAAGGCCCUGCUUGGUACGCGAGCGGCGAACGGGUGAGUAACACGUGAGUAAUCUUCCCAUCACUUCGGGAUAACUCCGGGAAACCGGAGCUAAUACCGAAUAUGACCACUUCAUGCAGCUGCUGGGGGUGGGAAGUUCCGGCGGGGAUGGAUGGGCUCGCGGCGUAUCAGCUUGUUGGUGGGGUAGUGGCCUACCCAGGCUUCGACGGGUAGCCGGCCUGAGAGGGUGACCGGCCACACUGGGACUGAGACACGGCCCAGACUCCUACGGGAGGCAGCAGUGGGGAAUAUUGGACAAUGGGCGGAAGCCUGAUCCAGCAACGCCGCGUGAGGGAUGACGGCCUUCGGGUUGUAAACCUCUUUCAGCUGGGACGAAGCGUAAGUGACGGUAACUGGAGAAGAAGCACCGGCCAACUACGUG